UGAAUACGAGGCACUAAGGUGCUGAAGUAGUGUAUGUCAUACUUCCAAGAAAAGCUUGCACUAUCGUAAGAUAAAAAUGCCUGUACCAUAACCGACACAGGUGGGUAGGUAGAGUAUACUAAGGGGCGCGAGAUAACUCUCUCUAAGGAACUCGGCAAAAUAACUCCGUAACUUCGGGAGAAGGAGUGCCUUAUUCUAUAAGGUUGCAAUAACAAGAUCCAAGCAACUGUUUAUCAAAAACACAGGUCUCCGCUAAGUCGUAAGACGAUGUAUGGGGGCUGACGCCUGCCCAGUGCCAGAAGGUUAAAGAAGUCGGUUAGCAAUUGCGAAGCUGGUAACUGAAGCCCUGGUGAACGGCGGCCGUAACAAUAACGGUCCUAAGGUAGCGAAAUUCCUUGUCGGGUAAGUUCCGACCCGCACGAAAGGCGUAAUGAUUUGGAUACUGUCUCGGAGAGGGACUCGGUGAAAUAGACUUGUCUGUGAAGAUGCGGACUACCUGCACCAGGACAGAAAGACCCUAUGAAGCUUUACUGUAACUUGAAAUUGAAAUUGGACUUUAUUCGCGCAGUAUAGGUGGGAGGCGUUGAUUAUAAUCUUGUGGGAUUAUUGGAGCCAUUAGUGAGAUACCACUCUUGUAAUGUUAGAUUUCUAACUUUGAAUCAUGAUCUGGUCAAAGAACAGUUUCAGGCGGGCAGUUUGACUGGGGCGGUCGCCUCCUAAAUGGUAACGGAGGCGUACAAAGGUUUCCUCUGAACGGGUAGAAAUCGUAUCUAGAGUGUAAAGGCAUAAGGAAGCUUGACUGUGAGACCUACAAGUCGAGCAGGGACGAAAGUCGGUCUUAGUGAUCUGACGGUACUGAGUGGAAAGGCCGUCACUCAACGGAUAAAAGUUACUCUAGGAUAACAGGCUGAUCUCCCCCAAGAGUUCACAUCGACGGGGAGGUUUGGCACCUCGAUGUCGGCUCAUCGCAUCCUGGGGCGGUAGUACGUCCCAAGGGUUGGGCUGUUCGCCCAUGAAAGCGGUACGCGAGCUGGGUUCAGAACGUCGUGAGACAGUUCGGUCCAUAUCCGGUGUAGGCGUUAGAAUAUUGAGAGGAGCCUUCUUUAGUACGAGAGGACCGAGAAGGACAUACCUCUGGUGUACCAGUUAUCGUGCCAACGGUAAACGCUGGGUAGCUAUGUAUGGAGUGGAUAACCGCUGAAAGCAUCUAAGUGGGAAGCCCACCUCAAGAUAAGUAUUCUCAUC
This 1245-nucleotide ribosomal RNA is filed under the name metagenome. RNAcentral's name for it is "bacterial LSU rRNA". It matches the Rfam family "Bacterial large subunit ribosomal RNA", at positions 1564 to 2818 of the family's 2925-position model. The record is from RNAcentral.